Molecule: ribosomal RNA, 535 nt
Filed under: Akanthomyces lecanii
Lineage: Eukaryota; Fungi; Ascomycota; Sordariomycetes; Hypocreales; Cordycipitaceae
Description: partial 28S ribosomal RNA
Rfam family: Eukaryotic large subunit ribosomal RNA
Source: RNAcentral
CAACAGGGAUUGCCCCAGUAACGGCGAGUGAAGCGGCAACAGCUCAAAUUUGAAAUCUGGCCCCCGGGUCCGAGUUGUAAUUUGUAGAGGAUGCUUUUGGCGAGGUGCCUUCCGAGUUCCCUGGAACGGGACGCCAUAGAGGGUGAGAGCCCCGUCUGGUCGGACACCGAGCCUCUGUAAAGCUCCUUCGACGAGUCGAGUAGUUUGGGAAUGCUGCUCAAAAUGGGAGGUAUAUGUCUUCUAAAGCUAAAUAUUGGCCAGAGACCGAUAGCGCACAAGUAGAGUGAUCGAAAGAUGAAAAGCACUUUGAAAAGAGGGUUAAAAAGUACGUGAAAUUGUUGAAAGGGAAGCGCCUAUGACCAGACUUGGGCCCGGUGAAUCAUCCAGCGUUCUCGCUGGUGCACUUUGCCGGGCACAGGCCAGCAUCAGUUUGGCGCGGGGGAUAAAGGCUUUGGGAAUGUGGCUCCCUCGGGAGUGUUAUAGCCCACUGCGCAAUACCCUGCGCCGGACUGAGGUACGCGCAUCGCAAGGAUGC